AAGAAACCACUCGAGAGGGCUUGGCAGGAGCCAUGCUCUGUGCUAGGCGUUGGGCCUGGAUAGUGCACAGACAGUUGUUUUCCAUAAGCUAAGCAGUGAAGACAUGGUAUUUAAGACCAGCCAAAGCUGAGCUGACAUCAGUGGUACCAACAUUGUGCUCUUCCCUGGGUGUGGUGUACUGAGCCCUCCACAAGCUAUAUAAAGAAUGCAGAUCAGAAUGACUCCUGGACAUUAACCCACUGAAGGUCUACCUGAAGAACUUCCCACUCCUGCUGUACCUUGUACGCUGAUUCUAUCACCCCUCAGGAGUUUUGUCACUGACUUCACCAUUUAUUUUCCCAUCAUAGUGUGCUGUGUCCCUCAGACUUAACAUAGCAUGUUUGUCUUCUGAAUAGAGACUUGUCUAUGUUGAGCCAUAUAUCUGCCUCCUCCUUCUGCUUGACACAGGCCUCCACCAGCUGGACUCAAACUUCAAUCACCCCCGAACCAGGCCUAUCCCUGAAAAACUCUCCUAUUCUUGUACUUGGAUCCAGUAACUCCCAGUCUUAUA
Long non-coding RNA from Macaca mulatta (Rhesus monkey), 550 nucleotides. RefSeq lists it as uncharacterized. The record is from RefSeq and is a predicted model, not a curated record. Lineage: Eukaryota; Metazoa; Chordata; Mammalia; Primates; Cercopithecidae.